CGGAGGAAAAGAAACCAACAGGGAUUGCCCCAGUAACGGCGAGUGAAGCGGCAACAGCUCAAAUUUGAAAUCUGGCGCAAGCCCGAGUUGUAAUUUGCAGAGGAUGCUUCAGGGCAGCGACCGGUCUAAGUUCCUUGGAACAGGACGUCGUAGAGGGUGAGAAUCCCGUAUGCGACCGGUUGGCACCCGUCACGUAGCUCCUUCGACGAGUCGAGUUGUUUGGGAAUGCAGCUCUAAAUGGGAGGUAAAUUUCUUCUAAAGCUAAAUACCGGCCAGAGACCGAUAGCGCACAAGUAGAGUGAUCGAAAGAUGAAAAGCACUUUGGAAAGAGAGUUAAAAAGCACGUGAAAUUGUUGAAAGGGAAGCGCAUGCAACCAGACUUGUCGGCGGUGUUCCGCCGGUCUUCUGACCGGUCCACUCGCCGCCGGCAGGCCAGCAUCAUCUGGGCGCGCCGGACAAAGGCGCGGGGAAUGUAGCUCCUCGGAGUGUUAUAGCCCCGCGCACAAUACGGCGCCGCUCGGGUGAGGUCCGCGCUUCGGCUAGGAUGCUGGCGUAAUGGUUGUCUGCGGCCCGUCUUGAAACACGGACCAAGGAGUCUAACAUCUAUGCGAGUGUUCGGGUGUCAAACCCCUACGCGGAAUGAAAGUGAACGGAGGUGGGAAGCGCAAGCUGCACCAUCGACCGAUCCUGAUGUCUUCGGAUGGAUUUGAGUAAGAGCAUAGCUGUUGGGACCCGAAAGAUGGUGAACUAUGCCUGAAUAGGGUGAAGCCAGAGGAAACUCUGGUGGAGGCUCGCAGCGGUUCUGACGUGCAAAUCGAUCGUCAAAUUUGGGUAUAGGGGCGAAAGACUAAUCGA
This 855-nucleotide ribosomal RNA is filed under the name Teratosphaeria nubilosa. RNAcentral describes it as "eukaryotic LSU rRNA". It matches the Rfam family "Eukaryotic large subunit ribosomal RNA", at positions 51 to 938 of the family's 3401-position model. Lineage: Eukaryota; Fungi; Ascomycota; Dothideomycetes; Mycosphaerellales; Teratosphaeriaceae. The record is from RNAcentral.